Long non-coding RNA from Amaranthus tricolor (Joseph's coat), 1083 nucleotides. RefSeq lists it as uncharacterized. The transcript has 3 exons. The record is from RefSeq and is a predicted model, not a curated record. Lineage: Eukaryota; Viridiplantae; Streptophyta; Magnoliopsida; Caryophyllales; Amaranthaceae.
GAUUCGUUAAAGCUCGGGGGUGAUUCUAGGCACUUGCAAGGUGCCUGACCGUAUAGGGCAUCACAAAUUAAGGAUCUCAUAUAGUAGUCUUCAAUAGCUUCAUUUUAGUUUAAUUAUAUGUGAAUUCCUCACAUGAUCAUCUUAUAGGCCUUUUUUGUGGAUGCACUCACAGACAGGGGCAGAUACAAUAUGAAGUCAGUGAGAGCAGUUGACAUUGCUUAAAUCUAAAAUAUAAUAAAAUAAUAUAAAUAAAGGAAAUAAUCAAUGGUAUUCCUAAAUUUUUGUACUUUAUCAAUGGUACUCCUAAGUUUUUUCGAUUAUCAAUAUUAUCCUUGUGUUAUUAAGCGUCUUACAACUUUUUUAAUUUUUUCCGUCAAAAAUCGUCCAAAAUCGCCAACUUUUUUUCUUUUUCUUUAAUUUUUUUAAAUUUUUUAAAUUGAAAUAAAAAAAAAGAAAUCAAGUUAACGAUUUAGAUGAUACUCGAAAAAACAUAAAAAUAUCAUUAGUAAAGUGCAAAACCUUGAGGUACCAUUAAUAAUUUUUCAAUAAAUAAAAUUAUUCUAGAUGAGUUGAUAAGUGUUAUAAUUUCCCACAGCAAAUACUGAGUUCAAAAUCUACUAUGUGAGUUUCAUAUAAUUUUUUCUCUUUCCCACCCUAUCAAUUCCCAAAGAAACCGUCAUUGAUUAUCGGCAUACGACAUUCAUUCCAAUCAGUCAAUCGCGAAACCCUCAUUGAUAAUCGACAUACUGCUGCUGUCUCAUGUCGGCACCGCGCUACCACCAUUGUCUUGCUGCACUGCCGAAUGCCGUCUGCGCCGCAGCCACCAGCCGCACCGCCUUCUAUCGUCUGCCGUACCAGCCACCAUCAUUCUCUUAUUCUUUAAGAGUAGGAGCAGUAAAAAGGGCAGACAACAGAAUUCAAGGAGUCACUGUAAGAACCUCUGAAAUAAUUGGUCUUGAUGGAAAUAUGUUGACCUGAAUAGCUCUAUGGAGUAAUUCACUGGAGUAGGAAGGAUCAGAAUCCUUGAAAACUAUUGAAGCUGAAGCUAAUGCAGCUGCUGUUUCUGCUGCUACUUCAGAUCCU